This 497-nucleotide ribosomal RNA is filed under the name uncultured bacterium. RNAcentral describes it as "partial 16S ribosomal RNA". It matches the Rfam family "Bacterial small subunit ribosomal RNA", at positions 28 to 507 of the family's 1533-position model. The record is from RNAcentral.
GACGAACGCUGGCGGCGUGCCAAAUACAUGCAAGUUGAGCUCUGAAGGUUGGUACUUGUACCAACUGGAUGAGCAGCGAACGGGUGAGUAACGCGUGGGGAAUCUGCCUUUGAGCGGGGGACAACAUUUGGAAACGAAUGCUAAUACCGCAUAAAAACUUUAAACACAAGUUUUAAGUUUGAAAGAUGCAAUUGCAUCACUCAAAGAUGAUCCCGCGUUGUAUUAGCUAGUUGGUGAGGUAAAGGCUCACCAAGGCGAUGAUACAUAGCCGACCUGAGAGGGUGAUCGGCCACAUUGGGACUGAGACACGGCCCAAACUCCUACGGGAGGCAGCAGUAGGGAAUCUUCGGCAAUGGACGAAAGUCUGACCGAGCAACGCCGCGUGAGUGAAGAAGGUUUUCGGAUCGUAAAACUCUGUUGGUAGAGAAGAACGUUGGUGAGAGUGGAAAGCUCAUCAAGUGACGGUAACUACCCAGAAAGGGACGGCUAACUACGUG